RNAcentral lists this ribosomal RNA (301 nucleotides) under uncultured bacterium. RNAcentral's name for it is "partial 16S ribosomal RNA". It matches the Rfam family "Bacterial small subunit ribosomal RNA", at positions 509 to 807 of the family's 1533-position model. The record is from RNAcentral.
CAGCCGCCGCGGUAAUACGUAGGGUGCAAGCGUUAAUCGGAAUUACUGGGUGUAAAGCGUGCGCAGGCGGUUUGUUAAGACAGAUGUGAAAUCCCCGGGCUUAACCUGGGAACUGCAUUUGUGACUGGCAAGCUAGAGUAUGGCAGAGGGGGGUGGAAUUCCGCGUGUAGCAGUGAAAUGCGUAGAUAUGCGGAGGAACACCGAUGGCGAAGGCAGCCCCCUGGGCCAAUACUGACGCUCAUGCACGAAAGCGUGGGGAGCAAACAGGAUUAGAUACCCCUGUAGUCCCUGUCUCUUAUAC